Molecule: ribosomal RNA, 2925 nt
Filed under: human oral metagenome
Description: bacterial LSU rRNA
Rfam family: Bacterial large subunit ribosomal RNA
Source: RNAcentral
GAAGCUGGAUAAGGGCACACGGAGGAUGCCUAGGCGGUGGAAGCCGAAGAAGGACGUGCUAAGCUGCGAAAAGCCCGGGGGAGGUGCACAGGACCUGUGAUACCGGGAUAUCCGAAUGGGAGAACCUGCAUACCUGGAGGGUAUGCGCGAGAGAGGUAAGCCGGCGAACUGAAACAUCUAAGUAGCCGGAGGAAAAGAAAGUAAAAACGAUUCCCUGAGUAGCGGCGAGCGAACGGGGAGGAGCCUAAACCGUAUAUGUGUUAAAGCUGGCGGCGUUGCAUAUACGGGGUAGAGGGAACAUACUGGACUGACGCCAUAAGGUCGGGUAUAUCAUGAUGUAAGCGGAACGCGGCUGGAAAGCCGGACCGUAGGAGGUGAGAGUCCUGUAGAGCGUAAAGUCAUGAUAGCCUGUAUGAGAUCCCGAGUAGCAUCGGACACGAGGAAUCCGGUGUGAAUCAGCGUGGACCAUAUCACGUAAGGCUAAAUACUUCCACCGACCGAUAGAGGAGAGUACCGUGAGGGAAAGGUGAAAAGAACCCUGAGCAAGGGAGUGAAAUAGAAUUUGAAACCGUGUGCUUACAAGCGGUAGGAGCCCUUAGGGGUGACUGCGUGGAUUUUGGUUAAUCAUCCUGCGAGUUAUGAUGUGUGGCGAGGUUAAGUAGAAGCGGAGCCGAAGGGAAACCGAGUCUUAAUAGGGCGCAAGUCGCAUGUCAUAGACGCGAAACCUAGUGAUCUAGGCCUGUCCAGGCUGAAGCUGAGGUAAGACUCAGUGGAGGGCCGAACUCACCGCCGUUGAAAAGUUGGGAGAUGAGAUAGGUCUAGGGGUGAAAAGCCAAUCGAACUAGGAGAUAGCUCGUUCUCUCCGAAAUGCAUUUAGGUGCAGCCUUGGUUGAAGAUAUGCGGGGGUAGAGCACUGUAUGGCCUAGGGGGCGUAUAGCUUACCGAAGUCAAGCAAACUGCGAAUACCGUAUAUUGUUUACCGGGAGUGAGUCUACGGAUGACAAGGUCCGUGGACGAGAGGGGAACAGCCCAGACCGCCAGCUAAGGUCCCUAAUUAUGUCUAAGUGGGAAAGGAGGUGGAUAUUCACAGACAACCAGGAGGUUGGCUUAGAAGCAGCCAUACCUUGAAAGAGUGCGUAAUAGCUCACUGGUCGAGAGUAUCUGCGCCGAAGAUAUAACGGGGCUAAGACAUGAACCGAAGCCGCGGAAGCGUGGAAACACGUUUGGUAGGAGAGCGUUCUGUAGGCCGUAGAAGGUGUUCUGGAAGGGAUGCUGGAGGUAUCAGAAGUGAGAAUGCAGGAAUGAGUAGCGAGAAGGAGGGCGAGAAUCCCUCCGGCCGGAAGUCCAAGGUUUCCAGGGGAAGGUUUGUCCGCCCUGGGGGAGUCGGGACCUAAGCAUAAGCAGAGCUGCGAAGGCGAAUGGAAAACAGGUUAAUAUUCCUGUACCGCUGUGUACUGACUGAGAGAUGGAGUGACGCAGGAAGGUAUGCGGGAAGGCUGACGGAAUAGCCUUUCUAAGGGUGAAGCGUGGACAUAUAGGCAAAUCCGUAUGUUUAAACGUGAGGCCUGAUGGGUAAGUGCAUUAUGGCAUAAGCCGCAGAUCCUACACUGCCGAGAAAAACUUCUAUUUAGGGAAACAGUGCCCGUACUGUAAACCGACACAGGUGGACAGAGUGAGAAACUUAAGGCCGACAGGACAACUCUGGCUAAGGAACUCUGCAAAAUGGCCCCGUAACUUCGGGAGAAGGGGUGCCCGUGUUAACUGAAGAGAGAGACACUUGGAGGUGAAGCGGGUCGCAGUGAAGAGUCCCAAGCAACUGUUUACCAAAAACACAGGUCUAUGCUAAGCUGGAAGGCGACGUAUAUGGGCUGACACCUGCCCAGUGCCGGAAGGUUAAGAGGAGGAUUGAGAGAUUCGAAUUGAAGCCCCGGUGAACGGCGGCCGUAACUAUAACGGUCCUAAGGUAGCGAAAUUCCUUGUCGGGUAAGUUCCGACCUGCACGAAUGGUGAAAUGAUUUGGGAGCUGUCUUGGCCGGAGACCUGGUGAAGUUGUAAUGCCGGUGAAGAUACCGGUUACCUGCAGUAGGACGGAAAGACCCCGUGGAGCUUUACUGUAGCCUGGCAUUGGGUUUCGGCAAUGAGUGUAUAGGAUAGCUGGGAGGCAAUGAAGAUAUGGCGUCAGCUGUAUUGGAGCCGCUGUUGGAAUACCAGCCACGCAUUGUUGGGAUUCUAAUCUCAUAAGAUGGGAGACAGUGCUAGGUGGGCAGUUUGACUGGGGCGGUCGCCUCCAAAAGAGUAACGGAGGCGUUCAAAGGUUCCCUCAGGCUGGAUGGAAAUCAGCCGGAGAGUGCAAACGCAGAAGGGAGCUUGACUGCGAGACUGACGGGUCGAGCAGGCACGAAAGUGGGAGUUAGUGAUCCGGCGGUUCUGAAUGGAAAGGCCGUCGCUCAACGGAUAAAAGCUACCCCGGGGAUAACAGGCUGAUACUUCCCAAGAGUCCAUAUCGACGGAAGUGUUUGGCACCUCGAUGUCGGCUCGUCUCAUCCUGGGGCUGGAGAAGGUCCCAAGGGUUGGGCUGUUCGCCCAUUAAAGAGGCACGCGAGCUGGGUUCAGAACGUCGUGAGACAGUUCGGUCCCUAUCCAUCGUGGGCGUAGGAAAUUUGAGAGGAGCUGUCCUUAGUACGAGAGGACCGGGAUGGACAGACCGCUGGUGUAUCAGUUAUCAUGCCAAUGGUAAUGCUGAAUAGCUAAGUCUGGAAGGGAUAAGUGCUGAAGGCAUCUAAGCACGAAGCCCCCCUCAAGAUGAGAUUUCCUGUUGCAGCAAUGCAAGAGAGAUUCGAUACAGAAAAUGUCGUAGAUAGGUCAGAGGUGUAAAGGUGGCAACAUCAAAGCUAACUGAUACUAAUAAAUCGAAAGCUUGACCAG